UAGGGAAUCUUCCGCAAUGGGCGAAAGCCUGACGGAGCAACGCCGCGUGAGUGAUGAAGGUCUUCGGAUCGUAAAACUCUGUUAUUAGGGAAGAACAAAUGUGUAAGUAACUAUGCACGUCUUGACGGUACCUAAUCAGAAAGCCACGGCUAACUACGUGCUAGCAGCCGCGGUAAUAAGUAGGUGGCAAGCGUUAUCCGGAAUUAUUGGGCGUAAAGCGCGCGUAGGCGGUUUUUUAAGUCUGGUGUGAAAGCCCACGGCUCAACCGUGGAGGGUCAUUGGAAACUGGAAAACUUGAGUGCAGAGGAGGAAAGUGGAAUUCCAUGUGUGGCGGUGAAAUGCGCAGAGAUAUGGAGGAACACCAGUGGCGAAAGCGACUUUCUGGUCUGUAACUGACGCUGAUGUGCGAAAGCGUGGGGAUCAAACAGG
RNAcentral lists this ribosomal RNA (429 nucleotides) under Actinomycetes bacterium. RNAcentral's name for it is "Actinobacteria bacterium partial 16S ribosomal RNA". It matches the Rfam family "Bacterial small subunit ribosomal RNA", at positions 355 to 776 of the family's 1533-position model. The record is from RNAcentral. Lineage: Bacteria; Bacillati; Actinomycetota; Actinomycetes.